UACGUAGGGUCCGAGCGUUGUCCGGAAUUACUGGGCGUAAAGAGCUCGUAGGUGGUUUGUCGCGUUGUUCGUGAAAACUCACAGCUUAACUGUGGGCGUGCGGGCGAUACGGGCAGACUUGAGUACUGCAGGGGAGACUGGAAUUCCUGGUGUAGCGGUGGAAUGCGCAGAUAUCAGGAGGAACACCGGUGGCGAAGGCGGUUCUCUGGGACGGUACUGACGCUGAGACGCGAAAGCGUGGGGAGCGAACAGG
Molecule: ribosomal RNA, 253 nt
Filed under: uncultured bacterium
Lineage: Bacteria
Description: partial 16S ribosomal RNA
Rfam family: Bacterial small subunit ribosomal RNA
Source: RNAcentral